AAACGGCACAAGAAUAUAAAAUAGCAACUUAAUAUCAGAAAUUCAGAAUAUAAUUUCUAUAGUAUUAUUUACCUUUGUAUGCAAAACAAAGGUUCAAGAUAUCGAAAACCCAGCAAUGGUCCACGAGAGCAACCUGUCACAAAC
Molecule: non-coding RNA, 144 nt
Organism: Arachis ipaensis
Lineage: Eukaryota; Viridiplantae; Streptophyta; Magnoliopsida; Fabales; Fabaceae
Source: RefSeq, a predicted model, not a curated record